GUGCGCACGUGCUCGGCGUCCCGGGCUGCGGCAGAGGCGGAGGUGAGCGCGCGGAGCUGGCCGGGCCGACGUGCGGCUGCGGGCGGGCUCUCUCGGAGGUUUACAGAGGUGGCAGCCCUCAUGGCAGGUCCCCUGUGGCGGGCCACAGCCUUUGUGCAGAGACACAGGACGGCCCUGUUGGUGGGUUCCUGUGCAGGCCUGUUUGGGGCUCAGAUCUCGUACCACCUCUUCCCGGAUCCUGUGGUCCCGUGGCUGUACCAGUACUGGCCUCAGGGCCAGCCAGCCCCCCUGUCCCCAGAGCUGCAGAGCCUGUUCCGGGAGGUGCAGCAGGACAUCGGGGUCCCCUCGGGCCACCGCUUCGAGGCCUUCACCACCUUCACCUUCCAGCCUGUGAGCGCCGGCUUCCCAAGACUCCCUGCCGGGGCCGUGGUGGGCAUUCCCGCCUGCUUCCUGGGUGGCCCGGUGACCAAUGCUGACCGGCCCGUGGUCGUCCACGGGCAGCGAGUGGACUGGCAGAGCCCAGCGGGCGCCCGGCUGAGAGAUGCCCUGACCCUCUCCCACGACGCCCAGAAGUUCGCCUUGGCCAGGGAGGUGGUGCACCUGGAGAGCGGGGCAGCCGCCCUGAAGGCCCUGCCGGCCCCCGCCUGCCUGGUGGGCACCUGGGCGCUGGGCGUGGGGGCCAAGCACGCCCUGGGGCUCUACGGAGGCCCCAUGAACUUGCGGGCCGCCUUCAACUUGGUGGCGGCAGUGGCGGGCUUCGUGGCCUAUGCCUUGUCCACGGACUCUCUCACUCACGCCCUGGAAGCCUGGCUGGACCGCCGCACGGCCUCGCUGUCUGCAGCCUAUGCCCGGGGCGGGGUGGAGUUCUACGAGAAGGUUCUGUCGGGCAACCUGGCCCUGCGCAGCCUCCUGGGCCGGCCCGGGGAGAAGCUGUACACGCCCAGCGGGAACGUGGUUCCCAGACACUGGUUCCGCAUCAAACACCUGCCCUACACGGCCCGCCGGGACUCAGUGCUGCAGGUGUGGAGGGCGGCGCUCGGCCCCCGCAGCCCCUGAGGGCCUCGUUCCAGCUGGGGCAGCAUUUAUUGUUUGUAGAUUUUUUGAUGAUGGCCAUUCUGACUGCAGACCCCACUUUUGAUCCUUGGGCAGAAGACCCCAGCAGGAAAGAGCACAGACUCCGGACGCGCAGGCUUAGCGACCAUGGCCCACAGGCCCAGCCGCUUCGCGGCAUGUGGGAUCCUCCCGGACCGGGACACAAACCCGCGUCCCCUGCAUCGGCAGGCGGACUCUCAAUCACUGCGCCACCAGGGAAGCCCUACAUUCUUUUUUUAUAUUCUUUUCCAUGAUGGUUCAUCACAGGAUAUUGAUUAGAGUUCCCUCUGCUCUACAGUAGGACCUUGUUGUUUAUCUGUCCUAUAUGUUUAAUAGUUUACAUCUGCUAACCCCAAACUCCCAGUCCUUCCCUCCCCCAACCCUUCCCCCUUGGCAACCAAGUCUGUUCUCUAUGUCUGUGUGUAUAUUUCUGUUUUGUAAAUAAGUUCACUUGUAUCAUUUUUUUAGACUCCACAUAUAAGUGAUAUCAUAUGGUAUUUGUCUUUCUCUGUCUGACUUACUUCACUUAGUAUGAUCAUCUCUAGGUCCAUCCAUGUUGCUGCAAAUGGCAUUAUUUCAUUCUUUUUUAUGGCUGAGUAGUAUUCCAUUGUAUGUAUGGACCACAUCUUCUUUAGCCAUUCAUCUGUCAAUGGACAUUUAGGUUUCUUCCAUGUCUUGGUUAUUGUGAAUAGUGCUGCUGUGAAUAUUGGGGUGCAUGUAAUCUUUUCAAAUCAGAGUUUUCUCAGGGUAUAUGCCCAGGAGUGGGAUUGCUGGAUCAUAUUGCAACUCUUAUUUUUAGUUUUUUGAGGAACCUCCAUACUGUUCUCCACAGUGGCUGCACCAAUUUACAUUCCCAUCAACAGUGUAGGAGGGCUCCCUUUUCUCCAGACUCUCUCCAGCAUUUGUUAUUUGUAGACUUUUUAAUGAUGGCCAUUCUGACCAGCAUGAGGUGAUGCCUCAUUGUAGUUUUGAUUUGCAUUUCUCUAAUAACGAACCACGUUGGGCAUCUUUUCUAGCCAUUCAUGUAUUCUUUUCGUUGGUGGUUAUGUUUUCCCUGGAAGAGUUGAAUAAUUCAGGCCUGGUGCCAGUGUAACUCGUGACAAAGGGAUUAAGCCACACCCAGGAAGGGCACAAAGCCAGCCCGGGAGGCCCACUCAGAGGCCGGCGGUCCCUGCAGAAGACUGGAUGGAGAGAGCAGGCAGGGGUGGCCUGACUCCUGCUGGGUCCUUGACCGUGGUCUGGGCUCAGCACUCCGGCCCCAUCCUGGGUGAGCCUGGGGGUCCCCACCCUGGGCCCCAGCAGACGGCUUUCUGAGGGCAGAGCACCCGCUCUCCCUGGGCCCUGGGCAGCACUGGGCCCCACCUGGCUGCUCUCAGUAACGCAGGAGCCGGGAAGAGGCCGGC
This is an RNA transcript of Physeter macrocephalus (sperm whale), 2495 nucleotides long. It is a transcript of the gene named transmembrane protein 177, with no coding region annotated. The record is from RefSeq and is a predicted model, not a curated record. The transcript is spliced from 4 exons. NCBI's taxonomy places the organism in Eukaryota, Metazoa, Chordata, Mammalia, Artiodactyla, Physeteridae.